AUUGAACGCUGGCGGCAGGCCUAACACAUGCAAGUCGAACGGAUCCUUCGGGAUUAGUGGCGGACGGGUGAGUAACACGUGGGAACGUGCCCUUUGGUUCGGAACAGCUCAGGGAAACUUGAGCUAAUACCGGAUGUGCCCUUUGGGGGAAAGAUUUAUCGCCAUUGGAGCGGCCCGCGUCUGAUUAGCUAGUUGGUGAGGUAAAGGCUCACCAAGGCGACGAUCAGUAGCUGGUCUGAGAGGAUGAUCAGCCACAUUGGGACUGAGACACGGCCCAAACUCCUACGGGAGGCAGCAGUGGGGAAUCUUGCGCAAUGGGCGAAAGCCUGACGCAGCCAUGCCGCGUGAAUGAUGAAGGUCUUAGGAUUGUAAAAUUCUUUCACCGGGGACGAUAAUGACGGUACCCGGAGAAGAAGCCCCGGCUAACUUCGUGCCAGCCGCCGCCGUAA
RNAcentral lists this ribosomal RNA (449 nucleotides) under uncultured bacterium. RNAcentral describes it as "partial 16S ribosomal RNA". It matches the Rfam family "Bacterial small subunit ribosomal RNA", at positions 30 to 523 of the family's 1533-position model. The record is from RNAcentral.